RNAcentral lists this long non-coding RNA (408 nucleotides) under Nicotiana benthamiana. RNAcentral's name for it is "long non-coding RNA (NBEN_LNC031746)". The record is from RNAcentral. Lineage: Eukaryota; Viridiplantae; Streptophyta; Magnoliopsida; Solanales; Solanaceae.
GUUUGUGUGUGUUCUUUCAGAUUGAUUACUUGACUAAAAAGUUUAUCAAGUCGGCAGAAGAUAUGUGCAAAUCGAAGGAAAAGGAAAUUACUAGCAGUUGAAAAAGCAAGUUUUUGUUUUAGCAGAGGCUCAUUUAGAGAUUCAAUUUUUGGCUGAGGAACUACUUAAGCUCCAGAAUUCUUGCACACAAAGUCAGAAAAAGACACGACAUGUUCGCGAUUGUGCAGAUACUUGAAGGGAAAUAUUGUAUUUCUUUUUUAAGCUAUGUUCUUACCUUGUUUGGUUUUAGUGGUUUACGUCCAAGAUCAUAUAUCUUAGCAUUCUGUGACAAGUGGUGAAUGUAAGCUAGAAUGAAAGACGAGCAUAAAUUAAUGAUGUACUAAACUGGACAGUGGACAGUGAGGCGUG